Molecule: transfer RNA, 70 nt
Filed under: Chlorophthalmus nigromarginatus
Lineage: Eukaryota; Metazoa; Chordata; Actinopteri; Aulopiformes; Chlorophthalmidae
Description: tRNA-Ser
Source: RNAcentral
GAGAGAGGCCCGACGGCAGUAAGGAUUGCUAAUCCUCCACCCCCACGGAUAAACCCCGUGGCUCACUCGC